CCUACGGGGGGCAGCAGUGAGGAAUAUUGGUCAAUGGCCGCGAGCCUGAACCAGCCAAGUAGCGUGAAGGAAGACUGCUCUAUGGGUUGUAAACUUCUUUUAUAAAGGAAUAAAGUGAGCCACGUGUGCCUUUUUGCAUGUAUCUUAUGAAUAAGGAUCGGCUAACUCCGUGCCAGCAGCCGCGGUAAUACGGAGGAUCCGAGCGUUAUCCGGAUUUAUUGGGUUUAAAGGGAGCGUAGAUGGGUUGUUAAGUCAGUGGUGAAAGUUUGCGGCUCAACCGUAAAAUUGCAAUUGAAACUGGCAGCCUUGAGUACAGUUGAGGUAGGCGGAAUUCGGGGUGUAGCGGUGAAAUGCAUAGAUAUCACGAAGAACUCCGAUUGCGAAGGCAGCCUACUAAGCUGCCACUGACAUUGAUGCUCGAAAGUGUGGGUAUCAAACAGGAUUAGAUACCCCUGUAGUC
RNAcentral lists this ribosomal RNA (460 nucleotides) under uncultured bacterium. RNAcentral's name for it is "partial 16S ribosomal RNA". It matches the Rfam family "Bacterial small subunit ribosomal RNA", at positions 338 to 795 of the family's 1533-position model. The record is from RNAcentral.